This 497-nucleotide ribosomal RNA is filed under the name uncultured bacterium. RNAcentral describes it as "partial 16S ribosomal RNA". It matches the Rfam family "Bacterial small subunit ribosomal RNA", at positions 28 to 507 of the family's 1533-position model. The record is from RNAcentral.
GAUGAACGCUGGCGGCGUGCCUAAUACAUGCAAGUCGAGCGAACAGACGAGGAGCUUGCUCCUCUGACGUUAGCGGCGGACGGGUGAGUAACACGUGGAUAACCUACCUAUAAGACUGGGAUAACUUCGGGAAACCGGAGCUAAUACCGUAUAACAUGUUGAACCGCAUGGUUCAACAGUGAAAGACGGUCUUGCUGUCACUUACAGAUGGAUCCGCGCCGCAUUAGCUAGUUGGUAAGGUAACGGCUUACCAAGGCAACGAUGCGUAGCCGACCUGAGAGGGUGAUCGGCCACACUGGAACUGAGACACGGUCCAGACUCCUACGGGAGGCAGCAGUAGGGAAUCUUCCGCAAUGGGCGAAAGCCUGACGGAGCAACGCCGCGUGAGUGAAGAAGGUCUUCGGAUCGUAGAACUCUGUUAUUAGGGAAGAACAAAUGUGUAAGUAACUAUGCACGUCUUGACGGUACCUAAUCAGAAAGCCACGGCUAACUACGUG